UACGUGGAGGAUUUUCCCAUAUAAAAAUGACAUAUGUCCAUCAUUAUCACCACUAUUUCAAUUAUCACCAUUUUUAACAAACUCUGAAAAAAAAAAGUGAGAAAAAUGGAAGAUGGUAUGAGUGAUAUUGCAAAUUUUGGAUUCUCCAACGAAUUGAAAGAAGAAAGUCAAGAAAAUGUUGGAGAAAUGAGUAAAGGUGACAAAGAAGGUGGGGUUAUUAAUAAUUUAAUUUCCAAUUUGAUGAGUCCAAGAGCAGGGGAACCUAAAAACAAAGAAAGAAAUGAACUUUUUGAGGCUUAUGAUAAGGAGAAAAGUAGUGAUGAGAGUAAUGGAGGUGGAGGGAUAAUUAACAAUUUGAUCUCCAACAUUUUUCAUCCAACUGAAAAUUCUGUGGAGAAUCAAGAAGUACAAAAAGGUGAGAUGAAGAAAACAGAGGAAGAAAGUGGGAGUGUUUUGGAUAAUAUUAUGUCUCACUUGCCAACCCCUCUUGCAGAUGAUGCAGUUCCAGCUACAGAUGAGGCUUCAAUCCUCAUUCAUUCCAUUGUUCAUGACUAAUGUAGAAGAUGAUUAAUCAAGUGGGGGUGUAUGUGGAUAGACCAUAGUUAAUUCACAUUGUGUUCACUGCUGCCUGCUGGGCUUCUUAGACAGAUAGGUGUUGAUCAGGAUCAUCAACAGGUGUUUCGUUGAGAUCACUUUGCAAUUUAGAGAGCUUGGGUGAGCCUCCUUGCAUUCUAGAGGACUUCACAUUUAUUUUCUAGUCAGUGCUCUUGAGAUGUUGUGGGUCUUGUAUCGACAUUCAUCUUGAAUAAUAGAGGGUUCAUAGAUAGAUAGAGUUAAUGAGUCUCUCAGUAUUUACUUUUCCUUGAGAUGUUUUUGCAAACUAUUUGUAACACCCCGAAAUUUUUUUAAGCUAAGACUCGGACAUUCUUCGUUGUGA
Molecule: RNA transcript, 937 nt
Organism: Solanum tuberosum (potato)
Lineage: Eukaryota; Viridiplantae; Streptophyta; Magnoliopsida; Solanales; Solanaceae
Exons: 3
Source: RefSeq, a predicted model, not a curated record